GUGUCUUGUCCAGCCUGCAGCAGGCAGUGGCACAUGUGGGCAAAGCCCCAUCGGCCCCGUGGAGGGCUGGAAACAUUCUUCCCCAUCCCUACCCAGUCCUGGGUACCUGUUCUGUGGCACCUUAGCCAAGGUGGCCCUUGCCCACUGAGCAAGGCAUAGGCUCCUAUUCAGUCCUGCAGCAGCAGGGGCCUCCCCGUCACACCUAACCCACUCUUGAUUUUCCAGAAGCCUUCGGAACGGAUGACGGAGAAGGUAGGCACCCAGACGGACCAAGCACAGCCUGAAAAGACCUGCUGUUAGGAGUGCAGGGAGGGGCUAGGAGUUUCUGCUAUGAUAGCUGGUUCCCUGUUAGGCUCUGCCUAGAGAGGAUGCUUCAGGGAGAGUGGAGCUCUACAGGAUAAGGGAGGGACUGAACUCCUUCCUUUGUGCUAUCUCCUUCUUGUGUCCUGAACAUCAUUCCGGAGAUGCUUCUUUCACCCUACAAAUGGCAGCGCCCUGCCAGAGCAGUGGGUGGAUGCAGUUCGCAGUUGUUCCCACGCUUAACAGAACCAGCUUCAGCACACACCACCUCAGAAACAUCAGCCUCAGCCAGUGUCCUGACUUGUCGGAGGUCUGGGCUACGGGUCCACAGGGAUCCUCCACAAAGAAAAUGACGUCACAAUGGCUGGAGCCCUGAUAACCACCCUGUGCCCUGAAAAUGGAAACCAAGUGUGCUGGGAAUGGCAAAGCAUAAAGGAACAUGUAGUUCCCUAAUAAAUAGUAUAUACACAA
This is a non-coding RNA of Macaca mulatta (Rhesus monkey), 771 nucleotides long. NCBI's taxonomy places the organism in Eukaryota, Metazoa, Chordata, Mammalia, Primates, Cercopithecidae. The record is from RefSeq and is a predicted model, not a curated record.